This 1020-nucleotide ribosomal RNA is filed under the name Triticum aestivum (bread wheat). RNAcentral describes it as "partial small subunit ribosomal RNA". Lineage: Eukaryota; Viridiplantae; Streptophyta; Magnoliopsida; Poales; Poaceae. The record is from RNAcentral.
AUGAUGAGGACGGUGGCGGUGGUGGCGGUGGCCGUGCUGCUGGCGGCGGCGGUGGCGGCGGAGGCGGGCGAGCUCAAGGUGGGGUACUACGACAAGAGCUGCCGGGGCGUGGAGAACGUGGUGAAGUGGCACGUCGCCAGGGCCAUCAAGGCCAACCGCAAGAGCGGCGCCGCCCUCGUCCGCCUCAUCUUCCACGACUGCUUCGUCAGGGGCUGUGACGCGUCGGUGCUGCUGGACCCGACGCCGGAGAACCCCAAAACGGAGAAGACGGCGCCGAUCAACAUCGGCCUGGCCGCCUUCGACCUGCUCGACGACAUCAAGGCGGCGGUGGAGGACCGGUGCCCCGGCGUCGUCUCCUGCGCCGACAUCCUCAUCUUCGCCGCCCGCGACGCCGCCAGCCUGCUAAGCAACGGCCACGUCCACUUCGACGCCCUCGCCGGCCGCCUGGACGGCAUGCACUCCCACGCGGCGGAGGCGCAGCAGGACCUCCCCGACUCCACCUUCACCAUCGCGGAGCUCAUCCAGAACUUCAAGCGCAAGAACUUCACCAUCGAGGAGCUGGUGAUCCUGUCCGGCGCGCACGCCGUGGGCGUGGGCCACUGCUCGUCGCUCCGCGCCCGGCUCACGGCCCCCGCCGACCAGAUCCUCCCGGCAUACCGGGGCCUCCUCGCCGGCAAGUGCGCCAAGGGCCCGGACCCCAUCGUGCCCAACAACAUCAGGGACGAGGACGCCGGCGCGGUGGCGGCGGCCGUCCCGGGGUUCCUCCCGAAGCUGAGGAAGGUCAAGGACUUCCUGGACAACAGCUACUACCACAACAACCUGGCAAGGAUCGUCACCUUCAACUCCGACUGGCAGCUGCUGACGGAGAAGGAGGCGCGCGGCCACGUGCACGAGUACGCCGACAACGGCACGCUGUGGGACGAGGACUUCUCCGACUCGCUCGUCAAGCUCAGCAAGCUGCCCAUGCCGCACGGCAGCAAGGGCGAGAUCAGGAAGAUGUGCCGCUUCGUCAACCACUAG